UCCAAGAAACACUACAAUGCUUUCCACUUCUUAAUAAUACUCCACCAUCACUAAUAACAACAACAUGUAAUCCCGCACUAUCCUAAAUGACAGGACAUAAUCAUACUAUAAUCCAAAUUCUGGAAUUCUUCACCAUUAACUGCCUUCACAUUACAGUGUUUCACACAAACACAUACUCAUUCUCUUUGCUGAACUACAAUCAGAUUUCAGCAUUCAAUCUU
This 221-nucleotide long non-coding RNA is filed under the name Physcomitrium patens. RNAcentral describes it as "long non-coding RNA (PPAT_LNC007259)". The record is from RNAcentral. Lineage: Eukaryota; Viridiplantae; Streptophyta; Bryopsida; Funariales; Funariaceae.